GAUGAAGAACGCAGCCAAAUGCGAUAAGUAAUGUGAAUUGCAGAAUUCAGUGAAUCAUCGAAUCUUUGAACGCAUCUUGCGCUCCUUGGUAUUCUGAGGAGCAUGCCUGUUUGAGUGUCAUUAAAUUCUCAACUACACUGACUUUGAAUUGGUGUGGCUUGGAUUUGGGGGGAAAAUUGUUGUGGGCUUUUUGUAUAGUCUGCUCCCCUGAAAUUGAUUAGCGGUACCUUUGUGGAACUGUCUACAGGUGUGAUAAUUAUCUACAUCUUAGACAUCUGCUGGAAUGCUGCUUUCUAAACCUUACUUGUAUUGACAAUCUUGACCUCAAAUCAGGUAGGACUACCCGCUGAACUUAAGCAUAUCAAUAAGCGGAGGA
This 376-nucleotide unclassified non-coding RNA is filed under the name soil metagenome. RNAcentral describes it as "partial contains 5.8S ribosomal RNA, internal transcribed spacer 2, and large subunit ribosomal RNA". The stretch from base 1 to 120 matches the Rfam family "5.8S ribosomal RNA", at positions 35 to 154 of the family's 154-position model. The record is from RNAcentral.